Molecule: transfer RNA, 87 nt
Filed under: Pholiota conissans
Lineage: Eukaryota; Fungi; Basidiomycota; Agaricomycetes; Agaricales; Strophariaceae
Rfam family: tRNA
About the family: Transfer RNA (tRNA) molecules are approximately 80 nucleotides in length. Their secondary structure includes four short double-helical elements and three loops (D, anti-codon, and T loops).
Source: Rfam by way of RNAcentral
GCAUUAAUGGGGUAGUGGUAACCUGGGUCGUUGCCAUUCGAGAUAUUCAAGCUCGACCCGCCGGGGGUUCGAUUCCCUCUUAAUGCA